UUUAUCGUACCUUGUUGCUUCGGCGGGCCCGCCGCAAGGCCGCCGGGGGGCAUCUGCCCUCUGGCCCGCGCCCGCCGAAGACACCAUUGAACGCUGUCUGAAGAUUGCAGUCUGAGCAAUUAGUUAAAUAACUUAAAACUUUCAACAACGGAUCUCUUGGUUCCGGCAUCGAUGAAGAACGCAGCGAAAUGCGAUACGUAAUGUGAAUUGCAGAAUUCAGUGAAUCAUCGAGUCUUUGAACGCACAUUGCGCCCCCUGGUAUUCCGGGGGGCAUGCCUGUCCGAGCGUCAUUGCUGCCCUCAAGCACGGCUUGUGUGUUGGGCUCCGUCCUCCUUCCGGGGGACGGGCCCGAAAGGCAGCGGCGGCACCGCGUCCGGUCCUCGAGCGUAUGGGGCUUCGUCACCCGCUCUGUAGGCCCGGCCGGCGCUUGCCGACACAUCAAUCUUUUUUCCAGGUUGACCUCGGAUCAGGUAGGGAUACCCGCUGAACUUAAGCAUAUCA
RNAcentral lists this ribosomal RNA (501 nucleotides) under Penicillium sp. OY30307. Its description in RNAcentral is "eukaryotic LSU rRNA". The stretch from base 137 to 290 matches the Rfam family "5.8S ribosomal RNA". The record is from RNAcentral. Lineage: Eukaryota; Fungi; Ascomycota; Eurotiomycetes; Eurotiales; Aspergillaceae.